UAUUACUUCGAUCGUGGAAAACCCAGACACAAUAGCUUAUCUAAAUAUUAUCGCGGUCGCCGGUGACCGCUUGGGGACUUUUAAAGCAUUAG
This is a long non-coding RNA of Aricia agestis (brown argus), 92 nucleotides long. RefSeq lists it as uncharacterized. Lineage: Eukaryota; Metazoa; Arthropoda; Insecta; Lepidoptera; Lycaenidae. The transcript has 3 exons. The record is from RefSeq and is a predicted model, not a curated record.